MicroRNA precursor from human gammaherpesvirus 4 (Epstein-Barr virus), 76 nucleotides. It matches the Rfam family "mir-BART14 microRNA precursor family". NCBI's taxonomy places the organism in Duplodnaviria, Heunggongvirae, Peploviricota, Herviviricetes, Herpesvirales, Orthoherpesviridae. The record is from Rfam.
GGGUGGCCGGUACCCUACGCUGCCGAUUUACAUAAUAUAAAUUGUAAAUGCUGCAGUAGUAGGGAUCUGGACGCGC